This 31-nucleotide non-coding RNA is filed under the name Rattus norvegicus (Norway rat). Lineage: Eukaryota; Metazoa; Chordata; Mammalia; Rodentia; Muridae. The record is from RNAcentral.
UGCAUUUAGAAAACCUGUCUGGGAUACCACA